Molecule: ribosomal RNA, 366 nt
Filed under: uncultured organism
Description: bacterial SSU rRNA
Rfam family: Bacterial small subunit ribosomal RNA
Source: RNAcentral
CGGAGGAUCCAAGCGUUAUCCGGAAUCAUUGGGUUUAAAGGGUCCGUAGGCGGUCUAGUAAGUCAGUGGUGAAAGCCCAUCGCUUAACGGUGGAACGGCCAUUGAUACUGCUGGACUUGAAUUAUUAGGAAGUAACUAGAAUAUGUAGUGUAGCGGUGAAAUGCUUAGAGAUUACAUGGAAUACCAAUUGCGAAGGCAGGUUACUACUAAUGGAUUGACGCUGAUGGACGAAAGCGUGGGUAGCGAACAGGAUUAGAUACCCUGGUAGUCCACGCCGUAAACGAUGGAUACUAGCUGUUGGGCGCAAGUUCAGUGGCUAAGCGAAAGUGAUAAGUAUCCCACCUGGGGAGUACGUUCGCAAGAAUG